Molecule: small nucleolar RNA, 84 nt
Organism: Drosophila grimshawi
Lineage: Eukaryota; Metazoa; Arthropoda; Insecta; Diptera; Drosophilidae
Rfam family: Small nucleolar RNA R38
About the family: snoR38 is a C/D box small nucleolar RNA conserved across yeast, human, Arabidopsis and rice. It is encoded in the intron of elongation factor-1 gamma in both pombe and cerevisiae. snoR38 guides the methylation of 2'-O-ribose sites in 28S rRNA.
Source: Rfam
ACUCGAUGAUGAACACCUUAUUUAAGCCAAACAGUUAUCCCUGUCAUAAACAAAUAAUUGAUGAUACAAAAAGCUGAUACGAAA